Scatophagus argus is the source of this 661-nucleotide long non-coding RNA. RefSeq lists it as uncharacterized. The transcript has 2 exons. The record is from RefSeq and is a predicted model, not a curated record. Lineage: Eukaryota; Metazoa; Chordata; Actinopteri; Scatophagidae.
GAGGUUGAGAUGCUUUACUUGUAUGAAAAGUGUGAAACUGAAAAAUACAUAAACAACAAUAUUGGUUCAGUAUUGGUUUGUAACUUCACUUACACCAUAUCACAUAACAUAAGCAUGACCAGCAGGUAAGUAUUAAGCAAAAUCAGUGUUACAGAAUUAAUGGAGCAUUAAUGAACUGAUCUGUUAGUAUACAUAAACCAAAAAAGGCUACCCCAAGUGAUUCACUAAAUUCACCGACAUCAUAACAAAAAGUGGUCAAGAAAAUGUGCUUAUAUCAAAGAUACAUCGUUUCACAAUGCAUGUACUUACAGGUGAUGCCUUCUCAAGGGCUAUGAAUGAAGGAUGGCAACAGAUGAACACACAUCAGCUUCACUAGAGCACACAGGCCAUUUGUAGUUUGCUUGAACUAACUUCCUGUUACACAGGAAAUACAAAUCAGUGCUCAAACACUAUACUACAAUAAAUGACCAACAGGAGUCACUAGAGAACCCAGUAACACUGCACUAUGGUAAAUAACCAGCAGGAGUCACUAAAGAACAUUGAAUAACAGGCAUGGCCAGAACAGAAGUUGUGAAUGCGCUCCACCCACUCUGAGCAAUUUCAACAUGUUUAUGAGUUUUCACGGGACGAAGCUGAAUAAAGAACGCCCUGUAGUUUAAAA